Molecule: non-coding RNA, 25 nt
Filed under: Mus musculus (house mouse)
Lineage: Eukaryota; Metazoa; Chordata; Mammalia; Rodentia; Muridae
Source: RNAcentral
UGAAGAAGACAUAGUGAGUCCUGGG